RNAcentral lists this small RNA (409 nucleotides) under Histoplasma capsulatum. RNAcentral's name for it is "hypothetical RNA". Lineage: Eukaryota; Fungi; Ascomycota; Eurotiomycetes; Onygenales; Ajellomycetaceae. RNAcentral also lists the same sequence under 1 other name. The record is from RNAcentral.
CCCUUGCCAAAACAACGUGUAAAAUUCCUCAUUCUAUACUCUCUUCAUAUUUCCUUCUGGGAAUACCAUCUAUCCCUCUUGGUUUCUAUCCCGCAGGCUGUGCAGGAGAGCCGUGGUAAAGAUUUGCUUCUAACGCGCCCGCGACGAAUAGCUCCGAACAUCGAUUGAGCCUUUACGUGAGUGAUCCUACAUGAUCUGAGGAGGAGCGACAGACGCAGUCGACGACGCAACUACUGGAGCACCUUUUGGGAUAAGAAGCUGACAGCAAUUGGAACCUUUUUGCAGAUAAAUUGCAAAAAGAGAAACCCUGAUAUCAGAAUGCUGUUAAAUCUAGCGGCAUUGCCGAAAAAUGCGCCAAUAUAUGAGAAUAGGGAUUGCGGGAACAGAGGUUUGGGACUUGUCGCGAAGA